AUUGAACGCUGGCGGCAGGCCUAACACAUGCAAGUCGAACGAGUGGCGGACGGGUGAGUAAUGUCUGGGAAACUGCCCGAUGGAGGGGGAUAACUACUGGAAACGGUAGCUAAUACCGCAUACUAUCGGAUGUGCCCAUAUGGGAUUAGCUAGUAGGUGGGGUAACGGCUCACCUAGGCGACGAUCCCUAGCUGGUCUGAGAGGAUGACCAGCCACACUGGAACUGAGACACGGCCCAGACUCCUACGGGAGGCAGCAGUGGGGAAUAUUGCACAAUGGGCGCAAGCCUGAUGCAGCCAUGCCGCGUGUAUGAAGAAGGCCUUCGGGUUGUAAAGUACUUUCAGCGGGGAGGCGUUACCCGCAGAAGAAGCACCGGCUAACUCCGUGCCAGCAGCCGCGGUAAUAC
RNAcentral lists this ribosomal RNA (406 nucleotides) under uncultured bacterium. Its description in RNAcentral is "partial 16S ribosomal RNA". It matches the Rfam family "Bacterial small subunit ribosomal RNA", at positions 30 to 526 of the family's 1533-position model. The record is from RNAcentral.